AUGGAAAGACAAUGCUUGCAUCAGAAAAACAACAAAAAACAGUGCACUCAAAUAGUUCAAAAACUUAUCCAUUCCCCCCAAAACCCAUUAAUCCACCUAUAUAAACCAUUUUCAGAUUACAGAAGAAGGGGGGAUUUUGUUAAGAAAAAAAACCAGAAAAAAGACUUACAGAACCUUUACUCAAACACCAGCCCAUACUCCCUUUCGUCAGCUACACCCCAAACCUCACGUACUCCACUGUUCCGCAACCAAAAAAUAAUCCCUUCGUCUGUGGCACUUCCUAGCCACACCUUAAAUAAGCUCGACCCACCAUUGUGA
Molecule: non-coding RNA, 318 nt
Organism: Vicia faba (fava bean)
Lineage: Eukaryota; Viridiplantae; Streptophyta; Magnoliopsida; Fabales; Fabaceae
Source: the annotation of a GenBank genome assembly